RNAcentral lists this ribosomal RNA (253 nucleotides) under uncultured microorganism. RNAcentral's name for it is "partial 16S ribosomal RNA". It matches the Rfam family "Bacterial small subunit ribosomal RNA", at positions 524 to 776 of the family's 1533-position model. The record is from RNAcentral.
UACGUAGGGUGCGAGCGUUAAUCGGAUUUACUGGGCGUAAAGCGUGCGCAGGCGGCCCGUUAAGACAGGUGUGAAAUCCCUGGGCUCAACCUAGGAAUUGCGCUUGUGACUGGCGGGCUCGAGUACGGUAGAGGGGGGUGGAAUUCCUGGUGUAACAGUGAAAUGCGUAGAGAUCAGGAGGAACACCGAUGGCGAAGGCAGCCCCCUGGGCCUGUACUGACGCUCAUGCACGAAAGCGUGGGGAGCAAACAGG